GCCAGGGGUGGUAGCCCAUGCCUAUAAUCCUAGCUACUGGGGAGGCUGAGGCUGGUGGAUCUUUUGAGCUGUAUUGCUCUAAACCAAUAGGGUGUCCUCACUGGCCAAUAUGGUGAGUCUCUGGGAUCAGAGAGCCAUCAGGUUGCCUAAGAAGGGGUGAACCAGCCCAGGUUGGAAACAAAGCUGGCCAAAAAUCCCAGGCAGGUCAGUAGUGGUAUUCCCCUAUGACUAUCUUUCGCAUUUCCAGACUAACCAAUAUAGGAAUACCUAGACUUAA
RNAcentral lists this signal recognition particle RNA (277 nucleotides) under Vombatus ursinus (common wombat). RNAcentral's name for it is "Metazoan signal recognition particle RNA (ENSVURG00010005801.1)". It matches the Rfam family "Metazoan signal recognition particle RNA". From Rfam's summary of the family: The signal recognition particle (SRP) is a universally conserved ribonucleoprotein. It is involved in the co-translational targeting of proteins to membranes. The record is from Rfam by way of RNAcentral. Lineage: Eukaryota; Metazoa; Chordata; Mammalia; Diprotodontia; Vombatidae.